This 467-nucleotide ribosomal RNA is filed under the name uncultured bacterium. RNAcentral describes it as "partial 16S ribosomal RNA". It matches the Rfam family "Bacterial small subunit ribosomal RNA", at positions 28 to 507 of the family's 1533-position model. The record is from RNAcentral.
GACGAACGCUGGCGGCGUGCUUAACACAUGCAAGUCGAACGGAAAGGCCUCUUUCGGGGGGUACUCGAGUGGCGAACGGGUGAGUAACACGUGAGUAACCUGCCCUUGACUUUGGGAUAACUUCAGGAAACUGGGGCUAAUACCGGAUAGGAGCUCCUGCUGCAGGGUGGGGGUUGGAAAGUUUCGGCGGUUGGGGAUGGACUCGCGGCUUAUCAGCUUGUUGGUGGGGUAGUGGCUUACCAAGGCUUUGACGGGUAGCCGGCCUGAGAGGGUGACCGGCCACAUUGGGACUGAGAUACGGCCCAGACGCCUACGGGAGGCAGCAGUGGGGAAUAUUGCACAAUGGGUGGAAGCCUGAUGCAGCAACGCCGUGUGCGGGAUGACGGCCUUCGGGUUGUAAACCGCUUUCGCUCAUGACGAAGCUUUGUGUGACGGUAGUGGGUAAAGAAGCACCGGCUAACUACGUG